CUAUACAUGCAGUCGAGCGGAGUUUUAUUGGUGCUUGCACCUUUAAAAUUUUAGCGGCGGACGGGUGAGUAACACGUGGGUAACCUACCUUAUAGAUUGGGAUAACUCCGGGAAACCGGGGCUAAUACCGAAUAAUACUUUUAAACACAUGUUUUGAAGUUGAAAGACGGUUUUGCUGUCACUAUAAGAUGGACCCGCGGCGCAUUAGCUAGUUGGUGAGGUAACGGCUCACCAAGGCAACGAUGCGUAGCCGACCUGAGAGGGUGAUCGGCCACGCUGGGACUGAAACACGGCCCAGACUCCUACGGGAGGCAGCAGUAGGGAAUCUUCCACAAUGGACGAAAGUCUGAUGGAGCAACGCCGCGUGAGUGAAGAAGGAUUUCGGUUCGUAAAACUCUGUUGCAAGGGAAGAACAAGUAGCGUAAUAACUGGCGCUACCUUGACGGUACCUUGUUAAAAAGCCACGGCUAACUACGUGCCAGCAGCCGCGGUAAUACGUAGGUGGCAAGCGUUGUCCGGAAUUAUUGGGCGUAAAGCGCGCGCAGGUGGUUCUUUAAGUCUGAUGUGAAAGCCCCCGGCUCAACCGGGGAGGGUCAUUGGAAACUGGGGAACCUGAGUGCAGAAGAAGAUAGUGGAAUUCCAAGUGUAGCGGUGAAAUGCGUAGAGAUUUGGAAGAACACCAGUGGCGAAGGCGACUGUCUGGUCUGUAACUGACACUGACGCGCGAAAGCGUGGGGAGCAAACAGGAUUAUAUACCCUGGUACUCCACGCCGUACACGAUGAGUGCUAAGUGUUGGGGGGUUUCCGC
This 808-nucleotide ribosomal RNA is filed under the name uncultured Solibacillus sp. RNAcentral's name for it is "bacterial SSU rRNA". It matches the Rfam family "Bacterial small subunit ribosomal RNA", at positions 49 to 837 of the family's 1533-position model. The record is from RNAcentral. Lineage: Bacteria; Bacillati; Bacillota; Bacilli; Caryophanales; Caryophanaceae.